This 1423-nucleotide ribosomal RNA is filed under the name Triticum aestivum (bread wheat). Its description in RNAcentral is "partial small subunit ribosomal RNA". The record is from RNAcentral. Lineage: Eukaryota; Viridiplantae; Streptophyta; Magnoliopsida; Poales; Poaceae.
GAACCAAAAGAGGUCACUACACACACGCCACUCUGGCACUCUCUGUGUCCGUCGGUAGUGAAACGAAAGAGGCGGCGGGCGGACGAGAUGACGUGCGGCGGCGAAGGAGACGUCGUACGGCGUAGGAGAGGGCCGUGCUACAGCGGGCCGCGGGGGAGGAGGAGGGGGCGGGGGGGGUUGGGUGUGGUGGUGGUGCCGGAGCUGGGAAGAGCAGGAUAGGGGUGCUGCCGGAGCGGGGCGGCCGGGAGUAGGGGUGCUGCCGGAGUGGGGCGGCCGAGGACAGUGGUGGUGCCGGAACGGAGCGGCGGUUGAGGCAGUUAGAAGGGAUCUAGCUGAGACGACGGCGGUAGGAUGACGGGGUCUCGUCUAGCUCUACGCUCGACGACCUGUGCUACCCCCUCCUCCGUAGAGCUUGACCUGCCUCUAGGUCCCGCAACUGCACGGGCGGCAUUAGUAGCGGGGGGCACGAACCGAGUGUGUCAGCGAGGCCCUUCCUCAAGCGUCGAGUGCAUGCACGAGCCAACGACUUCCGCGGAAGCGGUGCAACAGUAAGUAAACACUCUACAAAGAGAAAGAGAUACAACCGUACCUACUAUAUAUCUCAUGACCUUCUAACAAUCACUUUGUGUAAGUCGGGUUACUUCACAUAGCGGAAACUCGAGGUAAUAAAUCCGGUCUAGAGUACUCUCUACGACACAGUUAACGUAACCGUAAGUUAUUCCUAACUUCACCACCAGCAUUGUGUCAGUCAACCCUCCUGGGUUACCGUCUCAGCUACAACCGUCUCAGCUAUAAUAACUGUAAAAGGAACAAUCUUUGUCGUCAUAUACCACAAGGAUUACUUAAGUCUGGUCCUUCACCUCAGGCUAGUGAGUAAUACUGUAGUUGUCCAGAGCUCUACGGCACCCCGGUGUGUCCCACUACUGUGGCCUCCAUCCCGUCGCGCGGUCCAACUCCUGCAGGUGGCCCAGCUCCUGCAGCGCCUGUCCCGCUCCCGCCGCACCGCUCCUCUCCAUGCUGUCGUUCCGCCCACCUCCUGCAGCGCCUGUGGUCCUCGGUCCUCUCCAUUCCGUCGUUCCGCCCAGCUCCUACAGCGCCUGUGGUCUCCGCGCCGCCCCGCCGACCGCCUCCGCUCCAAACACCGCACUACGGCCGCAACUAGCACCUCCAAGGACCACACCGCCGCCGAAACUAGCGCCUCAGGUGCAAUUAAGGGAACUCCACAGUAGCAACCCCCGACACAUCGUAGGACUUGAACCUCAGACGGCCGUCUUGUAAACAAAAGUCGGCAUCUAGACUGACAUCAUAUUACCUACAUAGCACCUGACAACCUACGUUGAAUUACCUAGACUAGCCUGCACGCCCCAAUAGGACACACGUGAAAAACCCCACGUGCAUCCCCUUCAGUACAAACCAGAAAAUU